CCUACGGGAGACAGCAGUCGAGAAUCAUUCACAAUGGGGGAAACCCUGAUGGUGCGACGCCGCGUGGGGGAAUGAAGGUCUUCGGAUUGUAAACCCCUGUCAUGUGGGAGCAAAUUAAAAAGAUAGUACCACAAGAGGAAGAGACGGCUAACUCUGUGCCAGCAGCCGCGGUAAUACAGAGGUCUCAAGCGUUGUUCGGAAUCACUGGGCGUAAAGGGUGCGUAGGCUGUUUCGUAAGUCGUGUGUGAAAGGCGCGGGCUCAACCCGCGGACGGCACAUGAUACUGGGAGACUAGAGUAAUGGAGGGGGAACCGGAAUUCUCGGUGUAGCAGUGAAAUGCGUAGAUAUCGAGAGGAACACUCGUGGCGAAGGCGGGUUCCUGGACAUUAACUGACGCUGAGGCACGAAGGCCAGGGGAGCGAAAGGGAUUAGAUACCCUUGUAGUC
Molecule: ribosomal RNA, 446 nt
Filed under: uncultured bacterium
Lineage: Bacteria
Description: partial 16S ribosomal RNA
Rfam family: Bacterial small subunit ribosomal RNA
Source: RNAcentral